AUUGAACGCUGGCGGCAUGCUUUACACAUGCAAGUCGAACGGCAGCGCGGGCUUCGGCCUGGCGGCGAGUGGCGAACGGGUGAGUAAUACAUCGGAACGUGCCCAGUAGUGGGGGAUAGCUCGGCGAAAGCCGGAUUAAUACCGCAUACGACCUGAGGGUGAAAGCGGGGGAUCUUCGGACCUCGCGCUAUUGGAGCGGCCGAUGGCAGAUUAGCUAGUUGGUGGGGUAAAGGCCUACCAAGGCGACGAUCUGUAGCUGGUCUGAGAGGACGACCAGCCACACUGGGACUGAGACACGGCCCAGACUCCUACGGGAGGCAGCAGUGGGGAAUUUUGGACAAUGGGCGAAAGCCUGAUCCAGCAAUGCCGCGUGUGUGAUGAAGGCCUUCGGGUUGUAAAGCACUUUUGGCGGGAACGAAAAGGACUGUGCCAAUACCACGGUUCGAGGACGGUACCCGCAGAAUAAGCACCGGCUAACUACGUG
This 484-nucleotide ribosomal RNA is filed under the name uncultured bacterium. Its description in RNAcentral is "partial 16S ribosomal RNA". It matches the Rfam family "Bacterial small subunit ribosomal RNA", at positions 29 to 507 of the family's 1533-position model. The record is from RNAcentral.